This 325-nucleotide ribosomal RNA is filed under the name uncultured bacterium. Its description in RNAcentral is "bacterial SSU rRNA". It matches the Rfam family "Bacterial small subunit ribosomal RNA", at positions 28 to 334 of the family's 1533-position model. The record is from RNAcentral.
GAUGAACGCUGGCGGCGUGCCUAACACAUGCAAGUCGAGCGAAGCGAUUUAACGGAAGUUUUCGGAUGGAAGUUAAAUUGACUGAGCGGCGGACGGGUGAGUAACGCGUGGGUAACCUGCCUCAUACAGGGGGAUAACAGUUAGAAAUGACUGCUAAUACCGCAUAAGCGCACAGCAUCGCAUGAUGCGGUGUGAAAAACUCCGGUGGUAUGAGAUGGACCCGCGUCUGAUUAGCUAGUUGGUGAGGUAACGGCUCACCAAGGCGACGAUCAGUAGCCGACCUGAGAGGGUGAUCGGCCACAUUGGGACUGAGACACGGGCCCAA